Micropterus salmoides (largemouth bass) is the source of this 1749-nucleotide long non-coding RNA. RefSeq lists it as uncharacterized. The record is from RefSeq and is a predicted model, not a curated record. NCBI's taxonomy places the organism in Eukaryota, Metazoa, Chordata, Actinopteri, Centrarchiformes, Centrarchidae. The transcript has 2 exons.
ACAAUCCGACCGGCUCCAACCAACACUUAACUCUACUGGAGACGGAGUUGUUACAUGUACAGGCUAGAUGGAGGUAAGUUGACGUUAUGUCACUCAUUUCAAUUGAAAUGCUUUUAAAUGUUGUACGGCAUGAUUUAAUGAUUAUUUAUAUUGACUGUUGGCAAGGUCACAGAGUCUAUCGCUGUCUCCUUUAUUAGAAUGACAUUUAUAACAUUUAGCUAACCGUUAGCUGUCUUGGCAUGAAGCUGGACUGGCAGUGCAUUUGUGCACUCAGACAUGACGAGCUAGGCUAAGGUUAGCUAUUUAUGUUUAACACAUUGUACAUGAUAUCCAGCAAAAAUAUUUUUCUGCGACUGUGGUAAUUGAAGUUUAUGGUCACACAGCAUAAACUACACUUUAGACCGCUGAUAUUACACUGAAAAUAUAGACUGCUUUCUAGACAUUUUGAGGCUUUGCUGCCUUGUUCCAUUUUUUUCCUUUAGAUGUGACAUAGAAGCAUUUAUUACACUAAUUAAUUUUCCUCUCAUAGUUGCAGUGUGGAUUAUUGGUGACAGCUAUGUCCAGCAUAGUGGCCAGAGAGCUGCAGAGAGCUUAGGAAGCAUCUUCACCCUGCUGGACGUCUCUUGGUCUGGCUGGCUUCUCCCCUUCUUUUCCCCUCUCUGCAAAGAAAGGACACGGUGCUGGAUGUCCUCGUCGUCCACUGUGGCGGCAAACUUUAAAACAAAUAUUUUGACAAUGAUUCUGUCCAUGACUUUAAUUCACGGUCAAUAAAAGCCAGAAGCUCUGAUUUCCGGUUUAGUGACAAAAAAUUCUCCUGGCCUGUUUGAUUGUGGGGAAUGACAGCUUGUCCUCUGCCAUGGCCCUCCCUGGUUCUCUGAGCGGCGGGACGGCACCAUCUCAUCUCUCCCACUGUGAUUUGUGCGUCCGAUCACAGAGGCAACCACUUUUACAGCUGCUAUAUUGUCAGGGCUAAGCGGGAUGUGGCGUGUGGAGCCACUGCUGUGUGUAUUUCUUUGUGUGUGUGUGUUGGGGGGUUGUGUAGCUAUCUAUGAAAGGAAGACAUUAAUUUGCUGUAUCAUUUCAUGCUGAGACAGUCACCGCCCCUCCACACACAAACUUUUUUUUCUGCUCUGAAGCUAUAGCUCUAUAGCUGGCCUGUCUGCCAUAAUGAACAGCUCGUGUUGGAGAACUGAAUCUAAACCAGGGCCAUAUUGCAUAUUUCUGUACAUGAGAGGAGGGGGGCUGAGAGAGAAACACAUCAAUAAAGAUGACACCGUUUAAGAGGCAGACAACCUUUACAAAAGAGCGUCGGGUUUAAUGGGCUGGCCGCGUGGCUCAUAAACCACAACCGCAUAUGACUGCAACAGAGACCGAGAACCAGCUUUACUCAAGGCUGCUGAAGAGAAAUGUAACCACUCUGGAUGCAAAGACCGGUCUUCUUGCAUGAGUCAGCCAGUUAGUCACAACUGCAAGAAAUCACACAAUCUAGACCCAAGGAAUGUAGACCGAUCAACCAGAUUGAGGUAGCGAUGUAUCAGGUGUAUACUGUGCUGUGGAGCGAACACCAACAGCUAAUAACCACAAUACCACAGUACUAAAGUUGCACACAUUUCCCAGGGCCAAAGUGUUAGCAUCAUGACAGCAAUUUUUAGUGUUUCAUUACUUGUUUUCUGCUUUUGUGGCUACAAGCAUGUCCCGUAAUGAUGAUCAAUCAAGGAAACUGAUAAUAAAGUCAAGCACUGCACUGUA